GAUGAACGCUGGCGGCGUGCCUAAUACAUGCAAGUCGAGCGAACAGACGAGGAGCUUGCUCCUCUGACGUUAGCGGCGGACGGGUGAGUAACACGUGGAUAACCUACCUAUAAGACUGGGAUAACUUCGGGAAACCGGAGCUAAUACCGGAUAAUAUAUUGAACCGCAUGGUUCAAUAGUGAAAGACGGUUUUGCUGUCACUUAUAGAUGGAUCCGCGCCGCAUUAGCUAGUUGGUAAGGUAACGGCUUACCAAGGCAACGAUGCGUAGCCGACCUGAGAGGGUGAUCGGCCACACUGGAACUGAGACACGGUCCAGACUCCUAAGGGAGGCAGCAGUAGGGAAUCUUCCGCAAUGGGCGAAAGCCUGACGGAGAAACGCCGCGUGAGUGAUGAAGGUCUUCGGAUCGUAAAACUCUGUUAUUAGGGAAGAACAAAUGUGUAAGUAACUAUGCACGUCUUGACGGUACCUAAUCAGAAAGCCACGGCUAACUACGUG
Molecule: ribosomal RNA, 497 nt
Filed under: uncultured bacterium
Lineage: Bacteria
Description: partial 16S ribosomal RNA
Rfam family: Bacterial small subunit ribosomal RNA
Source: RNAcentral